CCCUUAGAUGUUCUGGGCUGCACGCGUGCUACACUGAUAUUGCCAAUAUGUCAUUCUUAUCCGAAAUGGAUUGGGUAAUCAAGUAAUGAAAUUUCAUGCUUGGAAUCGGUAAUUGCAAUUUUAUCGUGAACGAGGAAUUCCUAGUAAGCACUAGUCAUCAGCUAAUGUUGAUUAUGUCCCUGCCCUUUGUACACACCGCCCGUCGCUACUACUGAUUGGGUGUUCAAGUGAGAUGCUUAGACCCUUGUUGCAUGGUUCAUUAUUGUGCUCCGAAAGGAAAAAGUUUCAAGCUUGAGUGUCUAGAGGAGGUAAAAGUCGUAACA
RNAcentral lists this ribosomal RNA (323 nucleotides) under uncultured eukaryote. RNAcentral's name for it is "partial 18S ribosomal RNA". It matches the Rfam family "Eukaryotic small subunit ribosomal RNA", at positions 1470 to 1796 of the family's 1831-position model. The record is from RNAcentral.